This 426-nucleotide unclassified non-coding RNA is filed under the name Haliotis rubra (blacklip abalone). Its description in RNAcentral is "uncharacterized LOC124264594, transcript variant X2". The record is from RNAcentral. Lineage: Eukaryota; Metazoa; Mollusca; Gastropoda; Lepetellida; Haliotidae.
GGAGCACCAAUGCCGGUGAAGCGUCAGAUCGUCAGCAGCUUUCUAACUUCACAACAGGUAUACGAACCAGCACAAGAUGAACACACUGACUGUAUGGGUGGCUGUUGGCCUGGUGUGUACGCUGAUGUGUCACACACUGGCAGUAGAGACAAUUGAUUGUCCUCCGAUCAGUAGUAACAGAUGUCGCAGACCAGCAAGCACAACCACACUGGAUGGUGACGAGUACUGCUGUCCUCGGAAGUUCCCGAACUUAAGUUCAGGCUUGAAAAACGUCAACGGGGUGGUAACCGUUUCGUGUAAAUGUUUCCAGGACCUGGAUGCAUAAAUAUACUUCCCUUUCGAUUCCGCUUUCAACUGACGUUCCUCAGAUAGUUUAUCGUUGAGAUGUAUUAUUUGUCAGUCUGAAUAAAAACAAUUCGAAUUGUU